This 911-nucleotide ribosomal RNA is filed under the name uncultured bacterium. Its description in RNAcentral is "bacterial SSU rRNA". It matches the Rfam family "Bacterial small subunit ribosomal RNA", at positions 33 to 926 of the family's 1533-position model. The record is from RNAcentral.
ACGCUGGCGGCGUGCCUAAUACAUGCAAGUAGAACGCUGAAGCUUGGUGCUUGCACCGAGCGGAUGAGUUGCGAACGGGUGAGUAACGCGUAGGUAACCUGCCUCUUAGCGGGGGAUAACUAUUGGAAACGAUAGCUAAUACCGCAUAACAGUCGACAUUGCAUGAUGUUGAUUUGAAAGGUGCAAUUGCAUCACUAAGAGAUGGACCUGCGUUGUAUUAGCUAGUUGGUGAGGUAACGGCUCACCAAGGCGACGAUACAUAGCCGACCUGAGAGGGUGAUCGGCCACACUGGGACUGAGACACGGCCCAGACUCCUACGGGAGGCAGCAGUAGGGAAUCUUCGGCAAUGGGGGCAACCCUGACCGAGCAACGCCGGGUGAGUGAAGAAUGUUUUCGGAUCGUAAAGCUCUGUUGUAAGAGAAGAACGAGUGUGAGAGUGGAAAGUUCACACUGUGACGGUAACUUACCAGAAAGGGACGGCUAACUACGUGCCAGCAGCCGCGGUAAUACGUAGGUCCCGAGCGUUAUCCGGAUUUAUUGGGCGUAAAGCGAGCGCAGGCGGUUAGAUAAGUCUGAAGUUAAAGGCUGUGGCUUAACCAUAGUACGCUUUGGAAACUGUUUAACUUGAGUGCAGAAGGGGAGAGUGGAAUUCCAUGUGUAGCGGUGAAAUGCGUAGAUAUAUGGAGGAACACCGGUGGCGAAAGCGGCUCUCUGGUCUGUAACUGACGCUGAGGCUCGAAAGCGUGGGGAGCAAACAGGAUUAGAUACCCUGGUAGUCCACGCCGUAAACGAUGAGUGCUAGGUGUUGGGUCCUUUCCGGGACUCAGUGCCGCAGCUAACGCAUUAAGCACUCCGCCUGGGGAGUACGACCGCAAGGUUGAAACUCAAAGGAAUUGACGGGGGCCCGCAC